GUCGCUCCCCGCCGGCUGCCGUUAGGGCUGGGAGCCGGCUGGGCGCGGGGGUAGUGAGGGUGCCUCUCGCCGUGGCUGCGCGGCGGCCUCGUCCGAGAGGCCGGCGCCGGGGCAGUGACCGGCCCGUGCCCAGCCGCCGCGCAGGGCGCCCGGGGCAGCUGGCCGAGCCCUCGAUGCCUCCCGUCUGACGGAGGCGCCCGGGAAGCGCCGCCCACCUCGGCCCCGCACCCUCGCCGGCCUGCCGGGUCUCCGCCAGCCCUAGCAGACAGAGAGGGGCGCCGGUCCCUAGUCCCCCAGACCUCCAUUCAAGGUCAAAACUUUGCCCAGCUCAGCCUUGCUCGACCCUGGGCAGGGAAGCGCGGACAUCGGCAGAGGGAGCCCGAGGCUCUCCGUGCCCUUCGCGCCGCUCCCCAAGGAUGGAUAACACUAACAUAUAGUCAGUGGGAAAGAAAUCUCAGAAAAUAACUGUUAGUUUGUCACUGUCAUGGGAAAUGGGAAGGAAGAAAAACAGCACUUAUCAAGCAUCUUCUGUGUACAAACUGCCAUUUCAGACUCAGAGCAGUCCUUGAAGGUCAAGAACUGUGGAAUCUUUCAGAUGAUAUUCUGAUACUUCUGGACCAAGAUUGAAUUUGUUCUUCAUGAAAAAUGUCUGGGACCUUUUAUAUGGACGGGGAAUACCAACGUAGAGAUGGUCAAGAAAAUUUGCGCUCCGACCUAAACCAAGCACGUUGUAUGGUAGUUGGAGAGCUAAAUGUGCGGAUUGGCUGAGUUGGCCAGCUAGAGUUAUUCAAUUAAAAAAAAAUUAAAAACAUCUCUGGAAACAUUGCUCCCAUCAAAUAUUAAAAUGAUAAAAUGUUAAAAAUUUAGGUACUGGAAUGUAUCACGUUUCAAAAUGUGAAAUGAAAGAUACAGGUCAUUAAUAUUAAUGAUUCACUUUUUUCUUUUUUUGAGACAUGGUCUCACUCUGCCACCUAGGCUGCAGUGCAGUAGCACUGCACUGAGCCUUGACCUCUCAGGCUCAAGCUAUCCUCCUUCCGAGCCUCCCAAGUAGCUGAGACCACAGGCAUGUGCCACCAGGCUCGGCUAAUUUUUAAAUAUUUGUGGAGACGGGGUCUUACUAUGUUGCCCGGCCUUGAACUCCUGGGCUCAAGUGAUCCCCCUGCCUCGGGCUCUCAAAAUGCUGGGAUUACAGGCGUGACCCACCGUGCUCAGCCAAUGAUUCACUUUUUAAAGAAAACAGCGUUACUGAGAUAUAAUUCACAUACCAUACACAUCACCCGUUUAAAGUGUACAGUUAAGUGGUUUUGAGUAUAUUCAAAGAAUUGUUCAGCCAUCACCACAAUCUAAUCUUAGAACAUUUUUAUCACUUGAGAAAGAAACUCCAUACACAUGAGAAGCCAUGUCUGUUUCCAACCUGCACACUUCCAGCUGUAUGUAAUCACUAAUCUGCUUUCUGACUCAAUAGAUUUGCCUAUUCUGAAGAUUUCAUAUAAAUGCAAUCAUACAAUGUGGUCUUUUGUGACUGGCUUCUUUCACUUAGCAUGUUUUCAAGGUUCAUCUAUAUGGUAGCAUGUUUCCAUACUUUAUUACUGUUACUUGCCAAAUAAUACUCCACUUUGUUAUAUAUACAUUUUGUUUCAUUAAUUAAUUUCAUUAAUUGAUGGACAUUUCAGUCAUUUCCAUUUUUGGUUACUAUGAAAAUACUGCUGUGAACAUUCAUAUACAGGUUUAUUUUUGUAUUCACUCUUGUUUUCCUUUCUUUUGAUUAUGUAGCUAAGUGUUUAACAUCAUUAGGAACUAUCGAACUGUUUCCAAAGUACCUGCACCAUUUUAUGUUCCCACCAGCAAUGGAUAAUGGUUCAAAUUUUUCCACAUCCUCAAUAACACUUUUUGUUGUGUCUUUUGUAUUAUAGCCAUGCUCAUGGUUGUGAAGUGGUAUCUCAUUAUGGUUUUUACUUGCAUUUCCCAAAUGACUAAUAGUUAUUAGCCAUGAAAAUGGUCAAUAAACACGUGAAAGAAGCUCAACUACACACACACACACACACACACACACACACACACACACAUACACACACACACACACCAAUUAAGUAAAGCAUCUGGCCCUGUAGGCACAUUUUCUGUUGUCUUUUUAUUUUUUUAAAGAGAUGUGUAUUAGCCUACUUUCCUGUUUCUUUGUAUGUCUUAUAAUUUUUGUUGAAAACUGGACUUUUAAGAUAAUAUUGAUAACUCUGGUAUCGCUUAACCCCACCCAAGGGUUUGUUGUUUUGUUACUGUUUAUUUGUUUAGUGACUUUUUUUUUUUUUUCAUGUAGUGAAUUCUGUGGAUUCUGUAUUCCCUGCAGCAGUUGCCCCAGGGUCUUUUUAAUUUUUAUUUUUAAAGUUUUUAUUCUACAUCUGGCUUCCUACUUGGCAUACCUGGGUCAGUAUUAUUUAGUGGUCAGCCAGUGAUUUGUUGUAAGAUUUCCCUAAAUCUCUUGCCUGUACAUCUCCCACCCUUUGUCAAAGUGAUUUGUGUGUGAAGGCAUGCCUUCAAAGUUCAGAAAAUGACAGCCUUAGUUUUCAUUUCCUGCUUACGCAGGGCUUCAUGGUGAAGCAGAAGGGAGCUGAUUAUUUGAAUGAGGUGUUUUCCUUUCUAGGAAUUUGCAAAGUCUUCUAGAUCCCCAAAAAUAUGUUGUAGCUUUUCAAAGCUGCGUAUGUUUUCCAGUUUUCUAAGAAUUCCUCUUAUAUUUUGAUCAGGAUCUUGUUUCCUCCACCUUUAAUCACAUGCUUAGGUAGCUGAGAUGUUGCCAGCAGAUUACUGUUGUUUUUGGUAAUGCCCUAGUCAAAUGAAAUAGCCAAGAUGCUGAGAAUGAAGAUUUUCCAGGGAGCUGCUAGUUCAGACAAAAUGUUGAUAGUAAUAGGGAUGGAGAUUUUCAUGCAGCUCCAAGGAGGUCAGUCAUAUCCAUUGGCUGUGAAGCCGCUGGCUUUCCAUGGCUACUGCACUACUCAGUUGAGAAGGGGGGCAGGAUGGGAAUUGCUCCAAGAUAAAAAUGCCAUAGAUUCGGUGUCUUAUCAAGGAUCAGUAGUUUUCCUUAGAAUAGACAAUACUCAGUCCAUUCUGUGGCUUUGGUUAAUUUCCAGAGUUCUGAAAUGGUGGAUAUUAUAUGGUUGGCCAGUAUUUUUGUUGUUGUUCUUUUUGGGGGCUCUGGGAGAGCAAGUUCAUGUGGUCCUCACACUGCCAUUCCAAUAGUCAAUCUUUCCCUAUUGUAAUUCACUUUUAUACAAUAUAUGUAUUUUCUAGGUAUUUUUCUACAUGCUUAAACUUAACAUUUAAAUGACAAAGUUAAUUAAUAUAUAAAUAUUUUAAUAUUCAAGGGGACUCUGCUAAACAUCACUAAUGUUAUCCAAAAAUAUGCAAUCACUGGAAAGUAUAUUUACCUGAUUAUUUAUAUAGUUCUUAAGUUGGAAACAGUAAGGUAUAAUGAAAAGGAACAUGAAUUUAAGGAUAGGCAUUAACAAUGUGUAUGAAACUGGAAAACAGUAUAGUGAACAGCAUGGGCUGCAGAAUUAGUCCACCUUGUGGAAUUGAGCUGAUUGAAAGAUAAUGUUUAAAAGUAGAGUAUCUCACAUAGUAAAUAAUAAUGUUAGCUAUCUUUAUUAAGAUAAAAUUUAUUCUUACAGAGUUGAAUUAAAAAUUAAAAGCAGGCCAUUUAUGCCUGUCAUCCCAGCACUCUGGGAGGCCAAGGCAGGUGGAUUGCUUGAGCUCAGGACUUUUCAGACCAGCCUGGGCAAUGUGGUGAAGCCCCACCUCUACAAAAAAUACAAAAAUUAGCCAGGCAUGGUGGCAUGUGCCUGUAGUCCCAGUUACCUGGGAGUUGACCUGGGAGAAUCACCUGAGCCCAGGGAGGUUGAGGCUGUAGUGAGCUGUGAUUGUACCACUGCACUCCAGCCUGGGAGAUAGAGUAAGACCCUGUCUCAAAAACAAACAAACAAACAAACCCAAAAUUAAACACAAGCUGAUUUCAUGACACUACUAGCAAAGACUGACUUAACAGAAGUAAACCAAAAAUAAAACUCUAACUGAUGGACCCUCCCCUCAGGCAUUCAAAAGUUAACCUGAAAAAGUAGUUCAGGCCAUGACCGGAAGUGAGGGUCAGAUAUGCCUCAUUAUAUGCUCCUUUCUUUUGGAAUUCAGGCACAGCUGACCAGCAUUAACAUCAAUACAAAGCCCUUAAGACUGAUAGAACAGACUCUUUAAGUCUGAGAAGAAGCAUUUAUAAUCUACUGUCACUGAAGCCUGCUACCUGGAGACUUCAUCUUCAUGAUAAAACCUUGGUCUCCACAACCCCUUAUGUUAAAAGACUUAUUUUGUCUACAUGACAUCAAACUAGGCUUCUGUUUUCCUGUUUAUACUAUUAAAAUUGCCUAUGCAAUAAGCAAGCUUAAAAGUAUAAGGAGAAUAAUCUAAGUAAAAUUAUCCAACAACUUAAAAUGAAGAGAUAAUCAUUAUUACAUUUUAGCAUACUUUUAGUCACAUACUUUUUUUCUCCAAGGCAAGUGCAUGCAUAAAUAAACACAUUUUAGCAUAGUUUAGUAUUAUUUUCACUCAGUAUUAUUUAUGAGUAUUUAGUCAUCAUGAAAAUUCUUGAAAAAUAAAUAAGCAGAGAGAAAAAUGAUGGAAACACCAAAAUCCCAUUAAGAGAAAGCCAAAGGAAACAGCGUAAAAGACAUGUAUUAUUAUGUAUACUUCUAAAAUUAUUUUUCUAAAGUGGUAUCUACACAGACAUUACAAAAAUAUAAUUUUCCUGCCUAUAUCUUAUUUAAAAAUUAAUUCCAUAUUGUUGGAGGUAAAGGAAUUUUCCUAAUCCUUCACUAUUAAAAAAAGAAUGCUUUAGUUUGCACCCAAAUUAGUUUGCACCCAAAUUAGUUUCUUUCAUUCCUAGAUACAGAAUACUGGAUCAAAGAGUAGUAAGUUUAGAACUUAUUCUUGAAUAUAGAAACCUUGUUUCCUAAGGAGAGGGUUGCAUCACUUUACAUUUCCAUUAGCUUUCAAUGAAAGCAUCCAUUUCAGUCCAUUCUUAUUUUCUAAUUGAGCUGAAAUUCACAUAGCAUACAAUUAACUACUUUAGAGUGUAGAAUCAAAUGGCCUUUAGUGUAUUUGCAAUGUUGUGCAACUAUCAAUUCUCUCUUGUUUGCAAACUUUUUCAUCACCCUAUAACAACACCCUGUACUCCCCCAGUAACCUCUAAUCUGCUUUCAUUCUCUAUGGAUUUGUCUACUCUAGAUACCUCAUAUAGAAGGUACCAUACAUGUGACCAACUGUGUCUGGCUUCUUUCACUUAGCAUAAUGUUUUCAAGGGUCAUAUAAGUUAUAGUAAGUAUCAGUACUGUCAGGCCUCUGAGCCCAAGCCAAGCCACUGCAUCCCCUGUAACUUGCACAUAUACGCCCAGAUGGCCUGAAGUAACGGAAGAAUCACAAAAGUAGUGAAUAUGCCCUGCCCUGCCUUAACUGAUGACAUUCCACCACAAAAGAAGUGUAAAUGGCCGGUCCUUGCCUUAACUGGUGAUAUUCCACCACAAAAGAAGUAAAAAUGGCCGGUCCUUGCCUUAAGUGAUGACAUUACCUUGUGAAAGUCCUUUUCCUGGCUCAAAAACCUCCCCCACUGAGCACCUUGCGACCCCCACUCCUGCCCGCCAGAGAACAAACCCCCUUGACUGUAAUUUUCCUUUACCUACCCAAAGCUUAUAAAACGGCCCCACCCUUAUCUCCCUUUGCUGACUCUCUUUUCAGACUCAGCCUGCCUGCACCCAGGUGAUUAAAAGCUUUAUUGCUCACACAAAGCGUGUUUGGUGGUCUCUUUACACGGACGCGCAUGAAAAGUACUUCAUCUCUUUUUAUGGAAAAAUAAUAUUCCAUUUUAUGUAUACACUUUGAUUUGUUUAUCCAUCCAGCUGUUGAUGGCCAUUUGGGUUGUUUAGUACCUUUUGGCUAUUAUGAACUAUUUGGCUAUUAUUGCUGCUAUGAAUAUGGAUGUACAAAUACCUCUUUGAGACCCUGCUUUCCGUUCUUUUGAGUAUAUAUUAGAAAUUCUGGAUCAUAUGGUGAUUCUAGGUUUAAUUUUUUGAGGAACUGCCAUAUUGUUUUUCACAGCAGCUGCACCAUUUUACAUUCCCACCAGCAAUGUAUGAGGGUUCCUAUUUUUCACAGCCUUGCUGACAUGUCAUUUUCAGUCUUUUAAAUUAAAACCAUCUUAGUGGUUCUGAAGUGGUAACUCAGUCUGGUUUUGACUUGCAUUUCCUUCAUGACCAAUUAUGUAGGACAUCUUUUUCUGUGCUUAUUGGCUACUUUGGAAUUCUUUGGAGAAAUGUCUAGUCCUUUGUCAAUUUUAUAAUUGGGCUUUUUUUUGUUGUUGAAUUGUAAACAUUCUUUUUAUAGUCUGGAUACUAGAACUUUAUCAGAGAUAAGAUUUGCAAAUAUUUUCUCCCUUUUCAGUUUGUUGAAAAGAAAAAAGACUUUUCUUUUGAGACAGGCUCUUGCUCUGUCACCCAGGCUGGAGUGCAGCGGCACAAUCAUGGCUCAUUGCAGCCUCGAUCUCCUGGGCUCCAGUGAUCCCAGCUCAGCUUCCCAAGUAGCUUGGGAGCACAGGCCUGUGCCACUGCCUCUGGCUAAUUAAAAGUUUUUUUUUUUUUUUUUUUUUUUCUAGAGACAAGGUCUCACUAUAUUGCCCAUGCUGGUCUCAAAUUCCUGGGCUCAAGCAAGCCUUAUGCUGUGGCCUCCCAAAGUUCUGGGAUUACAGGCAUGAGCCACUGCACCUGGCUGAAAAUGUUUUUUAAUGCAAAAAAGCUUUACAUUUUUGCAGAAUCUAAUCUAUUUUUAAAUUUUGUUACUAGUGCUUUUGGUGUCAAAUCUAACAAUCCAUUGUCAAAUCUGAGGAAAUGCAGAUCUACUUCUAUGUUUGCUUCUAAGAAUUUUGCAAUCUUACCCCUUACAUUGAGGUCCUUGAUCCAUGAGUUAAUUAUUAUAUAUGAGUUAAUUAUUUUAUAUGGAGUCCCACUUCAUUUUUUUUUACAUGUCAUUAUACAAAUGUUCUAGUAUGAUUUGUUGAAGGUACUCUUCUUUCUCCAUUGAAUGGUUGUGGUACUCCUGUCAAAAAUUAAUUUGCCAUAGAUAUUUGGAUUUAUUUAUGGGCUCUCAAUUCUAUUCCAUUGGUUUAUAUGUCUGUCUUUUUGCCAGCACUAUGCUUGUUGAUUACUGUAGCUUUGUAGUAACUUUUGAAUUUGGAAAGUGUAAGUCCUCUCAGCUUUGCUUUUGUUUUUCAAUAUUGUUUUGGCUUUUUGAGGCCCCUUACAGUUCCGUAUCAAUUUGAAGGUUGGCUUUUUAUUUCUGCAAACAGACCACUUGAAUCUGUAGAUUGUUUUGGGGAAUAUUGCUAUCUUAAAGUUUUCCAAUCCAUGAAUAUGGGAUGUCUUUCCAUUUAUUAGAUUUUCUUUAAUUUCUCUCAGCAAUGUUUUUUAGUUUUCAGUGGAUAAAUCUUUCAAUUUUUUGGUUAAAUAUAUUCCUAGGUGUUUUACUCUUCUAAAUGUUGCAAACUGAACUAUUUUUUUUUUCUUUUUUAAAAAUUUCUUUGCUGGUAUAUGGAAACAACUGAUUUUUGGGUGUUGAUCUUGUUCCCUAUAACUUUGCUGAAUUUGUUAAUUAGCUGCAGUAUUUUUUUCUGUGAGUUAUAUGAUAUUUUCUGUAUACAGAAUCAUGUCACCUGCAAAUAGAAAUCAUUUUGCAUGUUCCUAAUUUAGAAGAUUUUUAUUUCUUUUUCUGGCCGAAUUGCUAAGUGUAGGAAUUCCAGUAAAAAGGUGAAUAGCAGGAGUGAAAGUGGGCAUCCUCAUCUUCUUCCUGAUCUUAGAAGAAAUGCUUUCAGCUUUUCAUCAUACAGGAUGAUAUUAGCUGUGAUUUUUCUUAUAAAUGCCCUUUGUGAUGUUAAGGAAGUUCCCUUCUAUUCCUAGUUUGCUGAGUGUUUUAAUUAUAAAAGGAUGUUGAGUUUUGUCAAAUUUUUUUUAGUAUCUAUUGAAAUGACCAUAUAUUAUUUUUCCCUUAGAUCUAUUAAUGCCAUGUAUUACAUUGAUUGACUGUCUUAAGUUGAACAAUCCUUGCAUUCCUGGGACAAGUCCCAUUUGGUCAUAAAGUAUAAAUACUUUUAAUGUGCUGCUGGAUUUGCUUGGUAGUAUUUUGUUGAAGAUUUUUGUAUCAAUAUUCAUAUGGGAUACUGGUCUGUAGCUUUCUUGUAGUAUCUUUGUCUGGGUUUGGUAUGAGAGUAAUGCUGGUCUCACAGAAUGUGUUAGGGAGUAUUUGCUUUUCUAGUUUUUGUAAGAGUUUCAGUAAAAGUGAUGAAAUUCUCCUUUCAUGAAAUUGUUGGUAGAAUUUCAUCAGUGCAGCCAUCUGGUCCCUGAGUUUUCUUUUUCAGGAGGUUUUCAAUUACUGAUUCAAUCUCUUUACUUGUUACAGGUAGGUUGACAUUGUCUAUUUCCUCUUGGGUCAGUUUUGUAUUGUGUGUGUUUCUAGGGAACACUUUUUUUUUUUUUUGAGACAAGAGUCUUGCUCUGUUGUCCAGGCUGGAGUGCAAUGGUGUGAUCUUGGCUCACUGCAACCUUUACCUCCUGUGUUCAAGUGAUUCUCCUGUCUCAGUCUCCCAAGUAGCUGGGAUUACAGGCAUGCAUCACCACACCCAGCUAAUUUUUGUAUUUUUAGUAGAGACAGGGUUUCACCAUGUUGGCCAGGCCGAUCUCAAACUCCUGACCUUAGGUGAUCUGCGCCUGCCUCAGCCUCCCAAAGUGCUGGGAUUACAGGCACAUCUUUGAUUCAUCUAGAUUAUCUUUUUUUUUUUUUUUUUGAGAUGGAGACUCACUCUGUCACCCAGGCUGGAAUGCAGUGGUAUGAUGUCAGCUCACUGCAACCUCUGCCUCCUGGGUUCAAGUGGUUCUCCUCCUCAGCCUCCCAAGUAGCUGGGAUUAUAGGCAUACACCACCACACCCAGCUAAUUUUUGUAUUUUUAGUAGAGGUGGUGCUUCGUCAUGUUGGCCAGGCUAGUCUCAAACUCCUGACCUCAGGUGAUCUGCCUACCUCAGCCUCCCAAAGUGCUGGGAUUACAAGCAUGAGCCACUGUGCCUUUUUUUUUUUUUUUUUUUUGAGACAGGGUCUUGCUCUACCACACAGGCUGGAGUGCAGUGGCACAAUCAUGGCUCACUGCAGCCUUGAACUCCUGGGCUUAAGCCUCCUGAGUAGCUAGGACUACGGGUGCAUGCCACCACACAUGGCUAAUUUUUUUGUAGAGACAAGGACUCACUGUGUUGCCUAGGCUGAUCUCAAACUCCUGGCCUCAAGCAUUCUUCAUGCUUUGGCCUCUCAAAGUGUUGGGAUUACAGGUGUGAGCCACUGUGCCUGGCCUAGAUUGUCUAAUUUGUUGAUAUGCAGUUGUUUAUAGUAUUAUCAAUCCUUUUAACUUCUAUAAGGUCAGCAGCAAAGUCCCAUUGUUCAUUUCUGAUUUUAGUUAUUUGCCUUUUCCCUUUUUUUUUAAACACUCAGUCUAGCUAAUAGAUUGUCAAUUUUGUUGAUCUUUUCAAAGAACCAACUUUUGAUUUCUAUGAUGAUUAUUUUUCUCUAUUUCAUUUAUCUCUGCUGAAAUCUUUAUUAUUUCCAUCCUCCUGCUGGCUUUGAGUUUAGUCUGGUCUUCUUUUCAAGUUCCUUAUGGUAUAAAAUUAGGUUGCUGAUUUGAGAUCGUUGUUUUUUUUUAACAUUGCAUUUACAGCCAUAAAGUCCCUCUGAGUACUGCUUUUGCUUCAUCCAAUAUGUUUGGUUUUGUUUGUGUUUUGUUUUUAGUUAUCUCAAGAUAUUGUUUAGUUUUGUGAUAUAUGUCUUAUCUUCCUUAAGUUAACCAUUCAUGCAAAGUAGUGGCUGGAUUACCUAAAUACUCAGAGAGUAUAUAAAAUAUAUGAAUAGUUUUGUAUCUGCUUGCUAAUGAAUGUUUAUUUCAUUAAUGUCUUUAUUUGCACAGAAUUUGGUUAGAGAUUUUCUUUUAUGUUUACUGGCAGUAAGGAAAGUAGUUACCAAUGUUUGGUAACUGUUACAUUCUUUAAUGGCUACAGUUAUUGCCAAAAGAACCUAAGACUUAUAUAUAAUUAACUUGACUUAGGUUAGUCCCCAACACUCCCAAAUGUAUAAUUCCAGCAUAGACUGCCAGUCUCUGAACUCUAGGCUCUCAUAUCAAACUAAAUGCUAAACAUCAAUAUUUUCAUGUCUAACACAUAUUACCAAGUUAAUAUAUUCAAAACAUAAUCCCCAGGCCUGGGUGUGGUGGCUCACACCUGUAAUCCCAGCAUUUUGGGAGGCUGAGGCGGGUGGAUCACCUGAGGUCAGGAGUUUGAGACCAGCCAGGCCAACACGGCAAAACCCUGUCUCUACUAAAAGGUACAAAAAAAUUAGCCAGGCGUGGUGGCGCAUGCCUGUAGUCCCAACUACUCGGGAGGCUGUGGCAGGAAAAUCGCUUGAACCUGGGAGGCGCAGGUUGCAGUGAGCCAUGAUCGUGCCACUGCACUCUAGCCUGGCCAACAGAGUGAGACACCAUUUCAAAACAAAACAACAACCAAAAAACCCCCCAUAAUCCCUGAUUUUAUUCCCCCUACCUGCUCUCCAUCUCAGUUAUGGCCAUUCCAACUUUCCACUUAGUCAUGCCAGUAACCCUAUAGUUAUAGUUACAGGCCUCUCUUUUUCUUAUACCCUAUAUUCAAUCUGCCAAGAAAUUGAAUAAAUAUCCACAAUUUAAAAUAUAUACAAACUCUAGACACUAAUUUCUAUUUCCACUGCUACCACCUUGGUCCAAGCCACCACCAACUUUUGCCUGAAUUAUUCUUAUUAUUUACCCCAAAUAGGUAUGUUCCUAAACUGAAGUAUUUUAAUAGCUUCUAGUUGGUCUCAUUGCUUUAACUGUUGUUCCUUCUAGUCUGCAGUUUCACUCAGAUUACAGUCUUGUCCUAUGUCCUACUUAGUGUACACUCUCCACUUCCCAUUUAACUGUGUCUUCAUUUUCUACUCUGUAACCUCCCUCUUUCAUUCUGCUGCAACUUACUGGCCUCUUCACUGUUCCUUGGAAAAUCUAGGAGUGCUUAUAUAUUAGGGCCUUUGCACUGGCUUUCUUCUUUGCCUGGAAUAGCCUUCCAAAGAUAACUACAUGUCUAACUCCCUUACCUCCUUCAAAUCCUUGUUCAAAUGAUAUGUUCUCAGAGAGGCUUGCUCUGAUAAUCCUACAUACAAUCAAAGACCCUCUUGCCCAGCAAUCCCAAUCCCUUUUACUCUGCUUUAUUCCCUCUUCCUCCCACCCACAGUACGUUAACACUGCCUAACACUAGAUAGUAUUAAAUAACUUACUUAGUAUGCCUAUUGUCUGUCUUCCCCCACUAGAAUGCAAUCUCUAUGAGGGCUGAGAUUUGAGUCUGUUUUAUUCACUUCUGUAUUCUAAGACCCUAGAACAGGCCUAGCAUAUAUUAGCCACUCAAUAUAUUUUUGUUAAAUUAAUAAAUAAUUGAAAGAAAAUUUAAUCCUCCAAAUG
This 11578-nucleotide long non-coding RNA is filed under the name Homo sapiens (human). RNAcentral's name for it is "HSALNT0385631". The record is from RNAcentral. Lineage: Eukaryota; Metazoa; Chordata; Mammalia; Primates; Hominidae.